GGGGAAUUAGCUCAAAUGGGAGAGCGCUCGCUUAGCAUGCUAGAGGUGGUGGGAUUGACGCCCACAUUCUCCA
Tetraodon nigroviridis (spotted green pufferfish) is the source of this 73-nucleotide non-coding RNA. Lineage: Eukaryota; Metazoa; Chordata; Actinopteri; Tetraodontiformes; Tetraodontidae. The record is from Rfam.